AACGUAGGAGAAAAACGUUAUCCGGAGUUACUGGGAGUAAAGGGCGUGUAGGCGGUUUGUUAAGUCUGGCGUGAAAGCUCUCGGCUAAACCGGGAGAGGUCGUUGGAUACUGGCAAACUAGAGGACGGUAGAGGCGUGUGGAAUUCCGGGUGUAGUGGUGAAAUGCGUAGAGAUCCGGAGGAACACCAGUGGCGAAGGCGACACGCUGGGCCGUACCUGACGCUACAGCGCGACAGCAUGGGGAGCAAACGGG
RNAcentral lists this ribosomal RNA (253 nucleotides) under uncultured bacterium. Its description in RNAcentral is "partial 16S ribosomal RNA". It matches the Rfam family "Bacterial small subunit ribosomal RNA", at positions 524 to 776 of the family's 1533-position model. The record is from RNAcentral.